GAGUUCUGACGGAAAUUCGGGAGGGAUGAGAGCACUGAGAUUGUGUUCAGAUGCCGCAAAGCGCAACUAGUCCCGACGUAAUCUCCCAGAUUCCCAAACGUCAUCAUCUCCUCUCCUUCGCUAGCUUUGAAUCCCUCCCCCCGCCUUUGCGUGUUUCUUCCACUUUCCGCCCUUUUCACCUUUCCACCGGCCGGGGGAAAACUGUAGGGGGGCGUCGAUAUUUCGGUGGAAACGGAGCCGUUGCAACUCCCCAAGUGAAAUCCCGCAACUGAUGAGACGCCACUGAUUAGUGCUUCAUGGCGCGACACCAUCUGCUGAUCCGUACUGGAAGUCCAGGAGCUGCGAAACUGAUCAUUUCUAAACCCCGAGAGCGCCGGUCUGUGAAAGGACUGUUAAAGAGUUACACAGGAAGUCUUCUUUGGAAACAUACGUACGAGGACAAACGACACGCACGGCAGGCUGAGCUCUACGGCCCAGCUGCCACUGGUUCGAGGCUGAGCCUUGUCUCCAACGCUCCCCCGUGGGGUGGGAUCUGCUCUUCCUGGAACAGAGACUCCCGGGACCAGCAGCUGUUUGCAGGCUUGCGGUGACAUCAGCGAGAGAUGGGACACUCCUCCAAUCAGGGCUCACUCCCCUGUCAGGCACUGUGGAGCUGGAACUGGGUCAAAAAGAUGGAGGCUGUACGGAUGGUCGGACCUAUACGAAGACUCCAGAUUGAGAGGGUAGAAGCCCAAUAUCAUUCAGGCCUCCCUUAAAUCUGUUGCUCUUCACCUCUGAAGGCAGGAGACCAGGACGAGCGAGCAUCAGACAUCACCGCCUCUUCCAGCAGCAGGCGGGGGAGAGAGCCGAGAGGAAAUUGAAGCCUCAGCAGAAAGCUGCCUUGGGCAGGAACUGUAGGGGAAUCACUCACCAGGCCACGUGAGAGGCAGACAGAGGGUGGAACAGCAGAACGGAGCUCUAAAUCUCUUCUCUUGUGCCGUUGCUGUCUGAAUUACCUGUACUUUCAAAGAAACAAUACGUUAACCCUAGAGUGGGAGUUUUAAAUGGGGGGGGGGGUUGGUUUGUGUUUAAUGUGUUUCUGUUUUGUGAUGGUCUGUGUUCCGUAUGUUGAGCGAUUAAUUUAUGACGAUAAGAGCCAACGAAAAAACAACAUCCUGAAAACAAUGGUACUCUAUCUGUCAGAGUGGCUGAGCAAAUGUUUUUGUUUUGUUUUGUUUUCGGAAAGCACCAAUAUUUUUCGCAGCUCCGUGCUGUUUUUUUGCCUUCUGUUAUUCUCUCUCAAACCCACAAAGAGAACUGAUUCCAUCAGCACAGCGAUUUUCACCAGAUUGAAGGAUGUCGGGCAACCGAUAGUGACGCGAUAAGACCUUCCUUUGAAAGCCACAGAAAGCGUCUCUGUGCAGUCUGUCUUAGCACCAUUUUCUCGGCCAUAAUCAAUUAAAAUCAGCAAGAUGCAUGUUAGCGCCACUUUGACUUCAUUGGGCAUUUGUUCCUUUUUUACCACUUCUGUUUAUUUUGUGAAUAAAAUACAAUAAAGAAAAGAGCGAACGACAUUUAGGGAUAGGCAGGUAUAAGUGUUAAUUUUAAAUGAAGGGAAUUCAAUAUCAUAUAGUGCACUUAUCUUAGUCUGGAAUAUUGUGAGACUGUGUUAGAAAAGUAUCGCUUCUCUGGAAGAGCAGCCACAAAGAUACACUUCUGCUUUCAGAAGCGUACUGCACCAACAGGCUGAAGGAACUGAACCUUCUUCGGCUCACUGAGCUUUCCUUCGUGUACAGUGCACAGCGGUGAAUUGUAGAAAAUUUGCACAAAAGCAGAGCAGUGCAAUUAAAAUACAUCCUGCAAAUCCCAACAAAACCAAUUCUACAUUUAAUUUGUUAUAGCAGUCGCUUUUAAUUUGUGUAUUGGAUAUAAUAAAAUAUUUAAUUG
Non-coding RNA from Lepisosteus oculatus (spotted gar), 1926 nucleotides. Lineage: Eukaryota; Metazoa; Chordata; Actinopteri; Semionotiformes; Lepisosteidae. The record is from RefSeq and is a predicted model, not a curated record.